UACGAAGGGUGCAAGCGUUGUUCGGAAUUACUGGGCGUAAAGCGCGCGUAGGCGGGCUUGUAAGUCGAUUGUGAAAGCCCUGGGCUUAACCUGGGAAUGGCAGUCGAAACUGCAAGUCUUGAAUGUCUGAGAGGAUGGCGGAAUUCCCGGUGUAGUAGUGAAAUACGUAGAUAUCGGGAAGAACACCUGAGGCGAAGGCGGCUAUCUGGCGGCACAUUGACGCUGAUGCGCGAAAGCGUGGGGAGCAAACAGG
RNAcentral lists this ribosomal RNA (253 nucleotides) under uncultured bacterium. RNAcentral's name for it is "partial 16S ribosomal RNA". It matches the Rfam family "Bacterial small subunit ribosomal RNA", at positions 524 to 776 of the family's 1533-position model. The record is from RNAcentral.